Molecule: ribosomal RNA, 253 nt
Filed under: uncultured bacterium
Lineage: Bacteria
Description: partial 16S ribosomal RNA
Rfam family: Bacterial small subunit ribosomal RNA
Source: RNAcentral
UACAGAGGGUGCAAGCGUUGUUCGGAAUUAUUGGGCGUAAAGGGCGCGUAGGCGGUGCGGUAAGUCUGCAGUGAAAUCUCUGGGCUCAACUCAGAGUCUGCUGUGGAAACUGCCGUGCUUGAGUGUGGGAGAGGUGAGUGGAAUUCCUGGUGUAGCGGUGAAAUGCGUAGAUAUCAGGAGGAACACCUGUGGCGAAAGCGGCUCACUGGACCACAACUGACGCUGAGGCGCGAAAGCUAGGGGAGCAAACAGG